CGGUAAUUCCAGCUCCAAUAGCGUAUACUAAAGUUGUUGCAGUUAAAAAGCUCGUAGUUGGAUUUCUGCGGGGACGGAGCGGCCGGUCGCAACUUGCGACUCGAGCUAGCGCUUUCCCCGCAUCCUGCCGCGAACCGUGCUACCAUUAGUUUGGUGGCGCUGGGGAUCGGCUCGAUUACUUUGAGAAAAAUAGAGUGUUCAAAGCAGGCCACACGCCUUGAAUAAGUUAGCAUGGAAUAAUGACUAAGGACUUUGGUUCUUUUCGUUGGUGUUCGGGACUGAAGUAAUGAUUGAUAGGGACAGUUGGGGCGGUCCGUAUUCCAAAGCGAGAGGUGAAAUUCUUAGACCUUCGGAAGACGAACAGCUGCGAAAGCGUUCCGCAAGGAUGUUCCCUUUGAUCAAGAACGAAAGUUGGGGGAUCGAAGACGAUCAGAUACCGUCGUAGUCUCAACUAUAAACUAUACCAGCUAGGGAUCGGCCAACGUUUAAUUAUUCGACUUGGUCGGCACCUUAUGAGAAAUCAAAGCAUCUGGGUUCCGGGGGGGAGUAUGGUCGCAAGGCUGAAACUUAAAGGAAUUGACGGAAGGGCACCACCAGCCGUGGAGCCUGUGGCUUAAUUUGACUCAACACGGGAAAACUUACCAGGUCCAGACAUAGGAAGGAUUGACAGAUUGAUAGCUCUUUCUUGAUUCUGUGGGUGGUGGUGCAUGGCCGUUUUUAGUUGGUGGAGUGAUUUGUCUGCUUAAUUGCGUUAACGAACGAGACCCCAGCCUGCUAAAUAGCGCGGCCGAGCUUUGCUCGGUGCGAGCUUCUUAGAGGGACCAUGAUGCGCGAUAGCACAAGGAAGUUUGGGGCAACAACAGGUCUGUGAUGCCCUUAGAUGUUCUGGGCCGCACACGGGCUACACUGGCGCCUGCAACGAGCAUAUCAGCUGGCCCGAGAGGGUCUUGGCUAAUCUUUUGAACCGGCGCCGUGCUUGGGAUUGACCUUUGCAAUUGUUGGUCAUGCAACGAGGAAUGCCUUGUAAACGCGAGUCAUCAGCUCGCAUUGAAUACGUCCCUGCCCUUUGUACACACCGCCCGUCGCUCCUACCGAUGAAUGUUCCGAUGAAAUUUUCGGAGAGCGCCAGAGAACGGGGCUCUGCCUUGCAGAUCUGGAGGCUCAAAGUCACUUAAAUCUGAACAUUUCGAGGAAGGAGAAGUCGUAACAAGGUAACC
RNAcentral lists this ribosomal RNA (1217 nucleotides) under uncultured Rhizaria. RNAcentral describes it as "SSU rRNA". It matches the Rfam family "Eukaryotic small subunit ribosomal RNA", at positions 577 to 1804 of the family's 1831-position model. The record is from RNAcentral.